Molecule: ribosomal RNA, 253 nt
Filed under: uncultured bacterium
Lineage: Bacteria
Description: partial 16S ribosomal RNA
Rfam family: Bacterial small subunit ribosomal RNA
Source: RNAcentral
UACGGAGGGGGCUAGCGUUGUUCGGAAUUACUGGGCGUAAAGCGCACGUAGGCGGCUUUGUAAGUUAGAGGUGAAAUCCCAAGGCUCAACCUUGGAACUGCCUUUGAUACUGGAAGUCUUGAGUGUGGAAGAGGUUGGUGGAACUGCGAGUGUAGAGGUGAAAUUCGUAGAUAUUCGCAAGAACACCAGUGGCGAAGGCGGCCAACUGGUCCACAACUGACGCUGAGGUGCGAAAGCGUGGGGAGCAAACAGG